Non-coding RNA from Paramisgurnus dabryanus, 469 nucleotides. NCBI's taxonomy places the organism in Eukaryota, Metazoa, Chordata, Actinopteri, Cypriniformes, Cobitidae. The record is from RefSeq and is a predicted model, not a curated record.
GUUACAAGUUUUCAGUGUUUGAAGAGAGGAUCAAGAUACAGAUUUAAGACAAAAGGCAUCAAUUACGAUCGUUUAAAUAACUUGCCCAGAGCACAGCAUCUCGUGUACAGCAUGAAGUUUUCAGCUAUCAAGAUUUCUAGAGACUCCAGAAUGAAAACCAAGCCCUGCACUGCAAAAAAAUGAAUGUCUUUCUUAGUUUUCUUUUGUCUUGUUUUCUAAUAUUAAUAUCUGAAAAUUCUUAAAUUGAGAUACACUGACUUGGUAAGCAAGUGGCUUAAGAUAUUAAGUUUUGUUUAUUGAAAUAAAUGAUGGAAAUCAAGAGGUUUUUGUUUACUUAAAACAAGUCAAAAUAUUUACCUGUGCAGUAAGAAAAAUAAACUUAAUUCCAGUUUCAACUUGAUCAACUUAAUUUAAGUUUAUUUUUCUUACUGCAUUGGCAGAUAUUUUGACUUGUUUUAAGUAAAAAGAA